RNAcentral lists this ribosomal RNA (253 nucleotides) under uncultured bacterium. RNAcentral's name for it is "partial 16S ribosomal RNA". It matches the Rfam family "Bacterial small subunit ribosomal RNA", at positions 524 to 776 of the family's 1533-position model. The record is from RNAcentral.
UACGAAGGUGGCAAGCGUUGUUCGGAUUUACUGGGCGUACAGGGAGCGUAGGCGGUUCGGUAAGCCCUCCGUGAAAUCUCCAGGCUCAACCUGGAAAGUGCAGAGGGGACUGCCGGGCUAGAGGAUGGGAGAGGAGCGCGGAAUUCCCGGUGUAGCGGUGAAAUACGUAGAGAUCGGGAGGAAGGCCGGUGGCGAAGGCGGCGCUCUGGAACAUUUCUGACGCUGAGGCUCGAAAGCGUGGGGAGCAAACAGG